GAAUUGCUAGGACCAGCACUCAUCAGAUUGGAAGUAGGGUGGCAUGGAGCAGAAAUUAUGCGGCGAAAGAGAUCAAGUUUGGCGUUGAUGCUCGUGCUUUGAUGCUUAAGGGUGUUGAAGAGCUUGCUGAGGCAGUUAAAGUAACCAUGGGUCCCAAGGGACGUAAUGUUGUGAUUGAGCAAAGUUUUGGUGCCCCUAAAGUGACUAAAGACGGAGUCACUGUUGCUAAGAGCAUUGAGUUCAAGGAUAAAGUCAAGAAUAUUGGUGCCAGUCUUGUAAAGCAGGUUGCAAAUGCUACCAAUGAUGUUGCUGGUGAUG
Lathyrus oleraceus (garden pea) is the source of this 318-nucleotide long non-coding RNA. RefSeq lists it as uncharacterized. The transcript has 3 exons. NCBI's taxonomy places the organism in Eukaryota, Viridiplantae, Streptophyta, Magnoliopsida, Fabales, Fabaceae. The record is from RefSeq and is a predicted model, not a curated record.